GGAAUUUGAAAAGUGUCCUAAAUGCAGAGGAAAACAAUUAUAGCAAUUGUACUGUUGAUGUACUUCCGAAAUGUGUUUCAUGACUACCAGGGAAUGGAAGCAUGCGGAGAAUCGCACCUAUUUCCACGGGUCCGAGAAACUGUAUAAAAGCACUCACAACCCCCUUGCUCCUCACACCACUCCUCUUGGUUUAGCCUCCUCGGUGAACUUGGUUUACCUCCCUCCACCACCCCCAAGAUGUCCUGCUACUACGUGUGCUGCUCCCCCUGCUACAGGUCUGUCAGUACCUCCUACCGGGCCUACAGGUGCUGCAGCCCCUGCUACAGCUACUGCUGCAGCCCUUGCUACAGCUACUGCUGCAGUCCCUGCUACAGCUCCUGCUACAGCCCCUGCAGCUACCGGAGCUGCUGCACCCGCUACUACUACCCAUCCUGCUGUAACUACAGCUAUGGGUGCUGCUAGACCUGAUAAACCCAGUGGGAACCCACAGUGAGGAUCUACCCCGACCCGGCAAGCACAGACCGAUGGAUCAUCUCAGAGGCGACGUUUUCAGGAGUGCUGAGCCCCUGCAGCUGCAGCUGAAGCUACCAAGAAUGGAGAGCUUGGCUGCUCUCUAGAAUUUCUCAGCAUUUCUAUUUUUUGUUAUACUUUCUGUCUCCUUCUUCCAGUGUUUCUCAGCUACAAGCUUACUCUAGAUAGUCUCCCGCAUUUAGACCGCUUUGGCAGCAAUAAGAAUGAUCUGCAGUUCAUUUGAAGCUUCUUCCAGUCACCGCAGCAACGUUAAAGAACUCCUGCAUCAGUGAAAAUUAGCUCUUGUGUCAUCUGCAUUUUCAAUAACUACUUCCAGUAAGGUGCUGCAGUACUGCGUAAUGGAGAAACAUGACGGCUGUGCCUCCUUUGAUCUGGAUUUACAAGUACCUUAAGAACGAGCAACACAGCUUUCACAAAAAGGAAUGUUCUGUAUAGCAUAGUGUAGUGACUCAUCUACUCUAGCUCUUUUCAGCAUGCCAAAACUAUGAUCUUUCUGUAUCUGUGUCACCUUCUUUUCUUAUUGCAUUAAAAUUUUUCUGUAUAAAAAAAAAAAAUCAAAGUUCCAGUCUUCUUUUGCCUGUCCCUUGAUUACAUGAAUAGACAUUCAUGAGAUUCAAUAGAGCAGUGACAUUCUGAGGGGGGGGAGGGGUCCUGCCUCUUGUGCAGAGCACUUUAUAUCCCUUCAUGUUCAUUGAAGUUGGCCCAAGUAAAUGAGCUGUUUUCCUCUCUCUACCCCUCAGAAAUCUGAGAAAUCCCACAAAUUUCUCCCUUUCCCUUAAUAAUUUAAACUAUUACAGAUGUAAGGUUAAAAUAUUUCAGCAUAAUAAGGCUGUGAUGGUCUUUAUUAUAAUGUUUUAAAAUAGAAGAGUUAGUCCCAGACCUCUGUAGAGUAUACAUAAAAGAAAGUUCAAGUGAGUAUAAUACUCCUAUUCCCACAAACCAUAUUCAAAUAUUCUUUCAGAAUCACAAUUUCCAAUCAGAUUACCAUCUAACAGACAAAUUGCUGCAGCAGCCAGUGGAACUUUAUAUAUCUAUAAAUAAAUCUUAUAUUAAAUUCA
Molecule: long non-coding RNA, 1589 nt
Filed under: Anas platyrhynchos platyrhynchos (common mallard)
Lineage: Eukaryota; Metazoa; Chordata; Aves; Anseriformes; Anatidae
Description: lncRNA (ENSAPLG00000026195.1)
Source: RNAcentral